Molecule: ribosomal RNA, 549 nt
Filed under: Microascus sp.
Lineage: Eukaryota; Fungi; Ascomycota; Sordariomycetes; Microascales; Microascaceae
Description: LSU rRNA
Rfam family: Eukaryotic large subunit ribosomal RNA
Source: RNAcentral
GCGGCAACAGCUCAAAUUUGAAAUCUGGUCCCCCCGCGGGGCCCGAGUUGUAAUUUGAAGAGGAUGCUUCUGGCAAGGUGCCGUCCGAGUUCCCUGGAACGGGACGCCGCAGAGGGUGAGAGCCCCGUACGGUCGGACGCCGAGCCUCUGUGAAGCUCCUUCGACGAGUCGAGUAGUUUGGGAAUGCUGCUCAAAAUGGGAGGUAAACCCCUUCUAAAGCUAAAUACCGGCCAGAGACCGAUAGCGCACAAGUAGAGUGAUCGAAAGAUGAAAAGCACUUUGAAAAGAGAGUUAAAAAGCACGUGAAAUUGUUGAAAGGGAAGCGCUUGCUACCAGACUCGCGCCCGUCGGAUCAGCCGUCGCUCGUCGGCGGCGCACUCCGGCGGGCUCGGGCCAGCAUCAGUUCGCCUCGGGGGGAGAAAGGCGGCGGGAAUGUGGCUCUACGGAGUGUUAUAGCCCGCCGCGUAAUACCCCCGGGCGGACUGAGGACCGCGCGUAUGCAAGGAUGCUGGCGUAAUGGUCGUCAGCGACCCGUCUUGAAACACGGAC